This 253-nucleotide ribosomal RNA is filed under the name uncultured bacterium. RNAcentral's name for it is "partial 16S ribosomal RNA". It matches the Rfam family "Bacterial small subunit ribosomal RNA", at positions 524 to 776 of the family's 1533-position model. The record is from RNAcentral.
UACGUAGGGUGCGAGCGUUGUCCGGAGUUAUUGGGCGUAAAGAGCUCGUAGGCGGUCUGUCGCGUCUGCUGUGAAAUCCCGAGGCUCAACCUCGGGCUUGCAGUGGGUACGGGCAGGCUAGAGUGCGGUAGGGGAGAAUGGAACUCCUGGUGUAGCGGUGGAAUGCGCAGAUAUCAGGAAGAACACCGAUGGCGAAGGCAGUUCUCUGGGCCGUAACUGACGCUGAGGAGCGAAAGCGUGGGGAGCGAACAGG